Molecule: long non-coding RNA, 591 nt
Organism: Manis pentadactyla (Chinese pangolin)
Lineage: Eukaryota; Metazoa; Chordata; Mammalia; Pholidota; Manidae
Exons: 4
Source: RefSeq, a predicted model, not a curated record
GGGACACUGGAGCCGAAGGCGGCGGGAGCUGGAACUGGUCAAUGGAGACUGUCCGAACUGGGCAGACGAAGAGCGGGACCGACCGAGAGAGUCGGCAGAGUCGGCCAGAUCUGCAGAUGAAGGAGCACAAGCUUAGAAAGGUUAAGUAACGUCUCAGAUCACAAAUCCAAAAAUGCUGGAUCCAAGAUUCAAACUCAGAUAUAACCUCUAAAAUGUAAAUUCCGUACUCUUGUGGUUCUUCUCUUUGUCUUCGGUUUUCAGCUGUUGUACUGUGAUGUGCACCAGUGUGGUUUUCUUUUCAAUUGCCUUGUCUGGAAUUUGGAACACCUUCUGAAUCUGUGGUUUGGUAUCUUCCAUCAACUGAGAAGAUUUGAAUGGACAAAGAAAACAGGUGAAGACAAUUUUGAAGAUCUGAGUUUGAAAAAAAUUUGUUGAAAAGCAUGUAUAUGGAACAAAUGACCCAGGGUAUUUUCCAUUAAAAUUAAAAAACUUCCUGUGCAUUUACACUUGUCAAAUAUAAAAAUUGCUACUUGUUUAUUGCUGUAUGUUUAUAACAUCACUAAGAACACUUGUCUUUUUUCAACUCAGUCA